UACGUAGGGUGCAGGCGUUAAUCGGAAUUACUGGGCGUAAAGCGUGCGCAGGCGGUUUCUUAAGUCAGAUGUGAAAGCCCCGGGCUUAACCUGGGAACUGCGUUUGAAACUGGGAGACUUGAGUGUGGCAGAGGGGGGUGGAAUUCCCGGUGUAGUGGUGAAAUGCGUAGAGAUCGGGAGGAACACCUGUGGCGAAGGCGGCCCCCUGGGCCGGCCCUGACACUGAGACGCGAAGGCGUGGGGAGCGAACGGG
RNAcentral lists this ribosomal RNA (253 nucleotides) under uncultured bacterium. RNAcentral describes it as "partial 16S ribosomal RNA". It matches the Rfam family "Bacterial small subunit ribosomal RNA", at positions 524 to 776 of the family's 1533-position model. The record is from RNAcentral.